AAAAAAUAUAUAUAUAAUUUUUUUUCAACAACCCAAUUAGGGCCUGCGCACAAUAGAGGAAUAACGUCAAAUAUUACAUUUUGGAAAGAGCUGAUACGAUGCAACGACCUGUAAAAUGUCUCGGAUGAUCCCAAUUGCCUACAAAUCGAUUGCCUACAGCGUCGAUAGCCAACAUCCCAAUUGCCUACAAGAUGAACUGCACACAAGUAAUACUGCCUACAGUUUCAAUUGCGCACAAGUAAAAAGUUAAAGGACGAAUGUACGAUUGCACACAUGUAAUAUUGCCUACAAGGCGAACUGCACACAAGUAAUACUGCCUACAGAUCGAUUGCCUACAGUUUCAAUUGCGCACAAAUAAAAAAUUAAAGGACGAAUGUACGAAUGCACACAUGUAAUAUUGCCUACAAGGCGAACUGCACACAAGUAAUACUGCCUACAGAUCGAUUGCCUACAGUCUCAAUUGCGCACAAGUAAAAAAUUAAAGGACGAAUGUACGAUUGCACACAUGUAAUAUUGCCUACAAGGCGAACUGCACACACGACAAUAUUUCGCACAAGACAAAUUGCACACAAGUAAUACUGCCUACAGAUCGAUUGCCUACAGUCUCAAUUGCGCACAAGUAAAAAGUUAAAGACCGACUGCACGAUUGCACACAUGUAAUAUUGCCUACAAGGCGAACUGCACACAAGUAAUACUGCAUACAGAUCGAUACAAGCCUUAUUGCGUACAAAUAAAAAAUGAAAUAUUAACGUCAGAAGCAAAUAUUUUAUAGCAAAGUACAUUAAAAUAAAAUGUUAUUUUUUGUAUA
Molecule: long non-coding RNA, 808 nt
Organism: Solenopsis invicta (red fire ant)
Lineage: Eukaryota; Metazoa; Arthropoda; Insecta; Hymenoptera; Formicidae
Exons: 2
Source: RefSeq, a predicted model, not a curated record